This 229-nucleotide ribosomal RNA is filed under the name uncultured bacterium. Its description in RNAcentral is "partial 16S ribosomal RNA". It matches the Rfam family "Bacterial small subunit ribosomal RNA", at positions 568 to 796 of the family's 1533-position model. The record is from RNAcentral.
UCCGUAGGCGGGCAGCUCAGUCAGUGGUGAAAGUUUACAGCUCAACUGUAAAAUUGCCAUUGAUACUGGUUGUCUUGAAUUAAUGUGAAGUGGUUAGAAUAUGUAGUGUAGCGGUGAAAUGCAUAGAUAUUACAUGGAAUACCAAUUGCGAAGGCAGAUCACUAACAUUAUAUUGACGCUGAUGGACGAAAGCGUGGGGAGCGAACAGGAUUAGAUACCCUGGUAGUCC